UUUGCCAAAAGCUCCGGCGCCUUAGGAUGAGCCCGCAGCGGAUUAGGCUGUUGGUAGGGUAAUGGCCUACCAAACCGAAGAUCCGUAGGGGCCGUGAGAGCGGGAGCCCCCAGAUGGGUACUGAGACAAGGACCCAGGUCCUAAGGGACGCAGCAGGCGCGAAAACUCCGCAAUGCACGCAAGUGUGACGGGGGAACUCAGAGUGCUGCUGAAUUUUUUCAGUGGCUUUUCUGGUUUGUAAAUAGAACCAGGAAUAAGGGUUGGGUAAGACCGGUGCCAGCCGCCGCGGUAACACCGGCAACCCGAGUGGUGACCGCGAUUAUUGGGCCUAAAGCGUUCGUAGCCGGACUGUUAAGUUUCUUGGUAAAUCUGGCAGCUCAACUGUUAGACUUCAAGAAAUACUGACAGCCUUGGAGCCGGGCGAGGAUGCGGGUACUUCAGGGGUAGGGGUGAAAUCCACUGAUCCUUGAGGGACCACCUGUGGCGUAAGCGCGCAUCCAGAACGGACUCGACGGUGAGGAACGAAACCCUGGGGAGCAAACGGGAUUAGAUACCCCGGUAGUCCAGGGCGUAAACGAUGCUCGUUUGGUGUUGCAUGCUCUACGAGGGCGUGCAGUGCCGUAGCGUAGGUGUUUAACGAGCCGCCUGGGAAGUACGGUCGCAAGACUGAAACUUAAAGGAAUUGACGGGGGAGCACCACAAGGGGUGGAGUCUGCGGUUCAAUUGGAUUCAACGCCGGAAAUCUUACCGGGAUCGACAGCAGUAUGAUGGUCAGACUGAAGGUCUUACCUAACGCGCUGAGAGGAGGUGCAUGGCCGUCGUCAGCUAGUGCCGUGAGGUAUCCUGUUAAGUCAGGUAACUGGCGAGACCCGCAUCUCUUGUUGCUAGCCGGUUCUUCGGAAUCGGUGCACACUGGAGAGACCGCUGGUGAUAAACCAGAGGAAGGAGCGAGCAACGAUAGGUCAGUAUGCCCCGAAUUUCCCGGGCUACACGCGGACUACAAUGCGUAUGACAGAGGGUUGCGACGCCGAAAGGCGAAGCCAAUCCCGAAACGUACGCCCAGUUCAGAUCGAGGGCUGUAACUCGCCCUCGUGAAGCCGGAAUCCCCAGUAAUCGCGUAUCACUAAUGCGCGGUGAAAACGUCCCUGCUCCUUGUACACACCGCCCGUCAAGUCAUUCGAGUAAGCCUUGAGUGAGGGUGUAUCCCUGUGGUACAUUCGAAUUCGAGGUUUGCAAGAAGGGCUAAGUCGUAACAAGGU
RNAcentral lists this ribosomal RNA (1259 nucleotides) under metagenome. Its description in RNAcentral is "bacterial SSU rRNA". It matches the Rfam family "Archaeal small subunit ribosomal RNA", at positions 183 to 1444 of the family's 1478-position model. The record is from RNAcentral.